Molecule: ribosomal RNA, 493 nt
Filed under: uncultured bacterium
Lineage: Bacteria
Description: partial 16S ribosomal RNA
Rfam family: Bacterial small subunit ribosomal RNA
Source: RNAcentral
GACGAACGCUGGCGGCGUGCUUAACACAUGCAAGUCGAACGGUGAAGCGCCUUCCUUUUUGGUGGGUGUGGAUGAGUGGCGAACGGGUGAGUAACACGUGAGUAACCUGCCCCCUUCUUCUGGAUAACCGCAUGAAAGUGUGGCUAAUACGGGAUAUUCUGGGUCUGUCGCAUGAUGGGUCUGGGAAAGAUAUUGUUUCGGUGGGGGAUGGGCUCGCGGCCUAUCAGCUUGUUGGUGGGGUGAUGGCCUACCAAGGCGGUGACGGGUAGCCGGCCUGAGAGGGUGGACGGUCACACUGGGACUGAGACACGGCCCAGACUCCUACGGGAGGCAGCAGUGGGGAAUAUUGCACAAUGGGCGCAAGCCUGAUGCAGCGACGCCGCGCGAGGGAUGGAGGCCUUCGGGUUGUGAACCUCUUUCGCCAGUGAAGCAGGCCUGCCUCGUUUGUGGGUGGGUUGACGGUAGCUGGAUAAGAAGCGCCGGCUAACUACGU